This 735-nucleotide ribosomal RNA is filed under the name Janibacter sp. 10.4.1-B3. RNAcentral describes it as "bacterial SSU rRNA". It matches the Rfam family "Bacterial small subunit ribosomal RNA", at positions 588 to 1324 of the family's 1533-position model. The record is from RNAcentral. Lineage: Bacteria; Bacillati; Actinomycetota; Actinomycetes; Micrococcales; Intrasporangiaceae.
UCUGCUGUGAAAUCCGGGGCUCAACCCCGGACUUGCAGUGGGACGGGCAGACUAGAGUAUGGUAGGGGAGACUGGAAUUCCUGGUGUAGCGGUGAAAUGCGCAGAUAUCAGGAGGAACACCGAUGGCGAAGGCAGGUCUCUGGGCCAUUACUGACGCUGAGAAGCGAAAGCAUGGGGAGCGAACAGGAUUAGAUACCCUGGUAGUCCAUGCCGUAAACGUUGGGAACUAGGUGUGGGUCUCAUUCCACGAGAUCCGUGCCGCAGCUAACGCAUUAAGUUCCCCGCCUGGGGAGUACGGCCGCAAGGCUAAAACUCAAAGGAAUUGACGGGGGCCCGCACAAGCGGCGGAGCAUGCGGAUUAAUUCGAUGCAACGCGAAGAACCUUACCAAGGCUUGACAUAUACCGGAAACAUUCAGAGAUGAGUGCCCCUUUUUGGUCGGUAUACAGGUGGUGCAUGGUUGUCGUCAGCUCGUGUCGUGAGAUGUUGGGUUAAGUCCCGCAACGAGCGCAACCCUCGUUCUAUGUUGCCAGCACGUAAUGGUGGGGACUCAUGGAAGACUGCCGGGGUCAACUCGGAGGAAGGUGGGGAUGACGUCAAAUCAUCAUGCCCCUUAUGUCUUGGGCUUCACGCAUGCUACAAUGGCCGGUACAAAGGGCUGCGAUACCGCAAGGUGGAGCGAAUCCCAAAAAACCGGUCUCAGUUCGGAUUGGGGUCUGCAACUCGACCCCAUGAA